RNAcentral lists this ribosomal RNA (524 nucleotides) under uncultured bacterium. RNAcentral describes it as "partial 16S ribosomal RNA". It matches the Rfam family "Bacterial small subunit ribosomal RNA", at positions 355 to 894 of the family's 1533-position model. The record is from RNAcentral.
UGGGGAAUAUUGCACAAUGGGCGAAAGCCUGAUGCAGCAACGCCGCGUGAGUGAUGAAGGUCUUCGGAUUGUAAAGCUCUGUCUUUUGGGACGAUAAUGACGGUACCAAAGGAGGAAGCCACGGCUAACUACGUGCCAGCAGCCGCGGUAAUACGUAGGUGGCGAGCGUUGUCCGGAUUUACUGGGCGUAAAGGGUGCGUAGGCGGAUGUUUAAGUGAGAUGUGAAAUACCCGGGCUUAACUUGGGUGCUGCAUUUCAAACUGGAUAUCUAGAGUGCAGGAGAGGAGAAUGGAAUUCCUAGUGUAGCGGUGAAAUGCGUAGAGAUUAGGAAGAACACCAGUGGCGAAGGCGAUUCUCUGGACUGUAACUGACGCUGAGGCACGAAAGCGUGGGUAGCAAACAGGAUUAGAUACCCUGGUAGUCCACGCCGUAAAACGAUGAGUACUAGGUGUAGGAGGUAUCGACCCCUUCUGUGCCGCAGUAAACACAUUAAGUACUCCGCCUGGGAAGUACGAUCGCAAGAU